Molecule: long non-coding RNA, 564 nt
Organism: Helianthus annuus (common sunflower)
Lineage: Eukaryota; Viridiplantae; Streptophyta; Magnoliopsida; Asterales; Asteraceae
Exons: 3
Source: RefSeq, a predicted model, not a curated record
AUAAAAAAAAUAAAAAAAGUAUUUCUAGUUGAUUUUUUAAUUUGUUGAUUUUGCUAACUGAAUUUAGUGUCAUAAUGCAGGUGUUGAAGCAAGAGGGUUCAUAUUUGGUCCUCCUAUUGCAUUGGCUCUUGGCGAGAAAUUUGUUCCCGUCAGAAAACCUGUGACGUUGAUUCGGAAGGGGACGCUCAAGAAGAAAAUCUUGUAUGGGUUGAUGCUAGGGCAGAGGAGACUUGGAUUGAAAAGUUUAACUUAGUUAUCAAGGAGCUGGUUAAGGAAAAUGAUGAAGAAAAAGAAAGAGAGGUUUAAUGGAAUUAUUGCGGGGUUGUUGGCUGACAAAGAAAAAGAUAAGGUGGAUAAAGAUGCGAUGCUUGAUAGGAUGUCACAAAAUUGAAGCUAUGUUAACAACUACAGUUUGAGGAUAGGCUAUAAACACUUGGUUUUGAAUGUUUAGAUGUUUAUCUUAUUAGGAUAAUUUUAGUUAUAUUAUGUUUUAGUUGGUAUUUUUAUAUGCUUUUGAAAACGAGAUGUUUUAUAUAAUUUUGGGAUUUUAUUAGACUUUUUUUA